Molecule: long non-coding RNA, 4400 nt
Filed under: Ananas comosus (pineapple)
Lineage: Eukaryota; Viridiplantae; Streptophyta; Magnoliopsida; Poales; Bromeliaceae
Description: long non-coding RNA (ACOM_LNC016519)
Source: RNAcentral
CUAGCUGCUAUCAUCCAAAGCCCUCUUCGUCCCAUUUGGGAGUACCCUCCCUUUCUCUGCGAUUCCACCUCUCUCCCUCUCCUCCUCCUCCUCCUCCUCCGAUGGUGCCUCGGCUCCCUCUUCUUCUCACGCGCUGCUGUGCUCUAAGUGCUCUUUCCGACAACCCUUGCUGCUCUACCCCUUCGCCGUUGUUGAUCCCCUGCCCAACCACUAGGCUUCGCCUACUGCCGCGCCUACCUCUGCCGCCUCCGCCUCUGCUGCCGACUCCGCCCCCCGGCUUCCGCACCCCCUCUCCUCUUCCUUGUUGCUCCCAACCUCGUCCUCCUCCUCUGGGGCCCACUCUGCAUCCGCCACUACCGCCACCCCCAAAACCCUAAAAACGAAAAAAAAAAAACAAAAAAAGGUAAAAAGUGGAGAAAUGCUCCCUCUACUAUCCCCACUACCACAGUUUCUUCUUUUGCUUUCCACUCAAACUUUUUGCAUGUACUGUAAUUUAUAGCUUCUAACAAGCAAAGAAUAUAAUUAGUAGUGGGAACAAAAAAAUAAUUUGGUCUUUUCCUAUUUUAUUAGGGUUUUUAACUAUACCAUUGGCAUUUGGUCCCUCAUUGCUGGUGAUCUUUGCCUGAGCCAAAGAUAAACCACACAAAGAAAACUAUCAGCCGGCAAGUGAGCAUUCCAUGCUAUGUGAUGCCGAGGUCACCCUCAUUUUCUUCUCCUUUUUUGCAUAGUAUCUCUAUGCUUCUCUAUCUUUUAUUCCUUUUUGAAUGUGAAGGCAUGGUGUAGGGAAUUGGAAAUUUAUCAAGCAAUGCCAUCCUUCAUUAUUCAAAGAGAGAACAGAGGUAUUAAGUCAUUUCUAUUGUCCAAUUAAUUUGUUCUUUAUACAUAGCUUUGACUAAUAAUGGAUGGUGCAUGGGGAUCAAGAUUGGAUGCAAGAACAUAUUGGGAUCUACUAAUUUGACUGUGAAAUCUUUUGAGUCUCAACACAUCGGGAUAAAAAAAAUGUGAUGCUGCCUCGAACUUUUAGAAGAUUGUAAUUUGAUUCUGGAACUUCAAUGCUUCAUAAUUAGGCUGCGAUUGCAUGAUUUAUGGACCUUAGGUUCUUUAUUUCAUAAUUAGGUAUUUCAUAAAUAGGCUGCGAUUGUAUGAUUUAUGAAUCCAAGUCUCUUUAGCAGCGAAAUCUUCAAACUUGAACUGAUUCUCUACCCCCUUUUGCUGCACUACAACAAAAUUAGUAUUUAGUGGCAAUUUAAUUAAUAGCGGCGAUUAUCCAACCGCCACUAUUACUUAUUAUCUAAUUGUACUUUAGCAGCAAUUAUUUUAAAAUAUAUAUCUUUACCAACUAAUAUUUAUAUAUCAAAUAUAUUUACAUUGAACCCCAAUACAACCUUAACCCUAACCCACAACAGAACCUAACCCACACCCCUCUCCUGCAUCGACCUCACAUGAGCACCCCCACCUUCAACCCCUUCUCUCCCUCAACCCCUCCUCUCCGAGCUCGAGCUCCUUCACCUCUACUCAUCCCCUCCUUCCUCAUCCUCUGCGUCCUCUCCAAGCUCCGAUCCUCGACUCGGCGAUCCCCAAAUCUCCCUUGCUAUCUUCCCCGACCUACUCGGCCCCGCGAGGACAAUCCUUGACCCGGCGAUCCGAUCCGAGCCCUCGGCGGUGCCGCUUCUCGAUUCCUCUUCUCGAUUCGGUGCUCCGAUCCAUUGGUAAGAGCUCUCAAUCUCAAAUCACUAGUUUCGUACUCGAAUCCGUAGUUAUCUAUUAUUUAUAGUUUUUACCUCCGAUCAAUCGUGUAUUCCUCAUUAAAUUUGAUAGUUGGUUAGUUGGUUUCAUUUGUUUUGCUUAGAUUUGCCUUUGGAGAUAACGAUUUAGUUUUCAAAUAGCUUGGAUGAAAUUGAAAGUGUCUAUGUUGAGUGCUCAUUUUGUUCGGUCACUGCGAAUUCAUGUUGGAUGUUCUGUUAAUCAUCUUCUAAUUCAUGUUUGAUGUUUUGUUAAUCAUCUUCUCCUUAAUAAAAUUUUGACCUGACCACAAGGAAGUUCACAUCUUGCUAUUUCUUGGCUAAUCAGACCAUUCAUGAUUUUAUUUUUUAUUUUUUUGGGGGUUCAUAUUUGGAAUGUGUGCCUUUUGUUCCUACCUGUAUUUUUCUAAUAGAAGGAUCCUCUUUAUCAUGUUCCUUUUAUGUUGUUUUACAGUUUUGCACCUUAGAAAAUUUUAUCUGUGCAACUAGUUGUUUCAAAUAUAUGGUUCAAUUAAUGAUUUCUACCUUGACUUGUCUUAACUUAAUGCAGAUGCAUCGAUCCUUGUAAGUAGUUCGAGAGCUUUAUUGUCAUGUUCCCCGAGUACAUCAAGCUUGCAUCUAUGAGUUGCUUUUGUGGGUACAAUUUCGUCUGCUUCUCAUUAUAUUUGUUUUUCUUCUCCUUGAGGCAUCACUUGAAUCUGGUAGUAUAAUUUAAUUGAUAUGUGGCAGAGGAGCGGCUCCAGGAAUCGAAGGACAUCCUCGCCAAGUAUCCUGAUCGAGUGCCGGUGAGCUCGUUUGUUCGAUCUUUCGUUCGUUCAUUUGUCCCCCCCCCCCUUUGUUGUUAAUUAAUCAUAUUUGGAGUUGAUUUUGUAGGAAAAUAGUGCCCGUUCUGUUGUAAAACUUAGUUAUUUGUUUGUCUACUAUGUUGGGAUUAAAAAAAAAGUUGAAAAUAUUUUUGCUUAGAUGUUCGGUGUAAAGAAAAUAAACUUAAAAAAUAUCACUACAAUGCCAUGCUUCAUGUAGAAUUAGUGUUAGGGCUGAUUCACUCAUGAGUAAAUGUAAGCUCUUAAUCCUUUUUUUGACUUACAAAACAAGCUACUUCCAAAAUGCUUAUAAAAAAUACUAUAAGAUACAAAACCUGGGUCGAUAUAACAUUAUCAUUUUUUCUGUCUUAAAAUACAAACAAAUAUGCGAAAAUAAAAUCCCGUGGGUUGUAAAGUUAAAUUUCAAUUCCAAAUCAUAUGCAGCUCAACAUAAAGAGUCAUAUAUUUUAGAAACAUUUAACAAAACAUCUACUUUCCACUUGUCAUGAGAACCGGUCUAUGUCAAUAUCAAGUUGUUAUAAAGGAGCAGCACAAAAAAGGACAAGAAUACUAAGAUGACACAUUAUCCAAUCUAAAUUCUCACACUAGCUAGUAGAUAACCUCCUUCUAUAGCACUAAUGCACAUAUGCUACAUCAGAGUAAAAGAUCUUUUCUUUUAAAAGCAAAACAUAAAAGAUCUGUCAAAUUUAUUCAUUGGAAAACAUUAUUGGCUAAUUACAAAUCACCUCACGUUCUGUCAUAUUUUUAUAGUUUUGUGCUGCCGUUAGUUUGUGAAUGGAAGACUGGCUUUUCAGAGGGCUUUUUUUGCAUCAGGGGGAAGGUCGAGUGUUGUUGUUUUGGAACAUUAGUUCAGGUACAAUUUGCGACACGGACCCUUACAAUACUUUUAUUUAAGUCAUGAUUUUUGUUUCCAUUUCUAACAAGAAUGUUUUAUUUGUAUAGAUCUGGGCAUGGGACCACCUGCACAUUGGCCGCCCUGAGGUAGUAGGAGCGCAGCCUGAGCUUGUCGACAUGCCACUAGGGUAUCGGUAAGUAUUUUUUCAUUUUAAGUUUUCUAUAUACUAUUUAUUCAUAACUAAUAUGAUAUAAAUGAAUCAGGUAGAAUACCAGGCUGGCUUUUCGGGACAAUGUUAGGACUACCGACAUUGAGUUUUAUCAUGAUCAGCUGGAUCAGCAGUUAGAGUCUUAGGUAAAUAAAAGUUACUCAAUCUGUCGAAUUUUGUAUUCAAUGCUAAUCUACUUAUUUUAUGGAUUGAAAUUUUGUUUUAGUUUGAAUUCUAGGAGGUCAGUACAGUAGUUUAAGGAACAAACAUAGAGGCAACUAGUCCAAAAACUACAGGAAGAUAUGGUUCUGACGUGAUAUGGAACUAGUUCAAAAACUGCAUCAAGUCAACAAAAUAUGGUUUCAUUAUUAAGUGAUUUGACGUGUAUGCAACUAAUUCAAGUACUUGAGUAAUAAAGAAAUCGAAAUUCAAUUAUCAUUCCAUUUUGAAGCCGAAAGCGUCCUUUUGGCUAUAUCUUCUCGUAGGCUCGGCGGAUUGCCGAACCAACUUCGCCAACGUGUUCGCUUUACCUUCAAUUACGUUUGCACGCGAGCAAUUUCAAGUUAGGGUCUCAAUCCUGCAAAAGUGCAUUAUCGAGCUUAGUGAAUACACUUUACUAGUUUCAACUUCCAACUAGUUUCAACUUCGAACUUCAUAUUAACUAGUUUCAACUUCCAACUGCCGAUUGCCAACUAGCUUCAACUUUCAACUAGUUUCAACUAUUUAUGAUAACAUAGUUUCAACUUUCAACUAGUUUCAAGUUCCAACUGCUUAUUAUAUAUAUAUAUAUA